RNAcentral lists this long non-coding RNA (199 nucleotides) under Lathyrus oleraceus (garden pea). RNAcentral describes it as "Pisum sativum (pea) long non-coding RNA (PSAT_LNC034857)". The record is from RNAcentral. Lineage: Eukaryota; Viridiplantae; Streptophyta; Magnoliopsida; Fabales; Fabaceae.
UUUAUCCCAUUUCUUUUAUUUAAAACUCAUUACAAACAGAAAAGUGAAAAAUAAUGUUAUAACUUUAUUCAAAGGGUUGAAAGAGUCUUGUAUGGAAUUGAGUGGGGUUGAACAAUAUAGUUGUGAUGUUUCAAAGGUUGGUAGAAAAAGAAAAAAAAUUAUUACUGAAAAAGAAAAAAAAAUGGAAGAAGAAUCGAAG